Molecule: non-coding RNA, 72 nt
Organism: Gopherus flavomarginatus (Mexican gopher tortoise)
Lineage: Eukaryota; Metazoa; Chordata; Testudines; Testudinidae
Source: the annotation of a RefSeq genome assembly
GGGGGUAUAGCUCAGUGGUAGAGUGUUUGACUACAGAUCAAGUGAUCCUUGGCUCUAAUCCAAGUGCCCCCU